Non-coding RNA from Bacillus sp. HMSC76G11, 120 nucleotides. The record is from Rfam. NCBI's taxonomy places the organism in Bacteria, Bacillati, Bacillota, Bacilli, Caryophanales, Bacillaceae.
UGAACCUUUAAAACAGUCCCGUGAGGCUGAGAAGGAAACGGAUCUUAUACGCUAAUACUGCGUAUUUUAAGCUAUGCAUCCAAAUCCCUCUUGCCAAAAACGGCGAGAGGGAUUUUUCUU